GUUGUUGUGGCUGAGAGGUUAAGGCGACGGGUUUGAAAUCCGUUGGGGUCUGCCCACGCAGGUUCGAAUUCCUGCCAGCAACG
Boleophthalmus pectinirostris (great blue-spotted mudskipper) is the source of this 83-nucleotide non-coding RNA. The record is from the annotation of a RefSeq genome assembly. NCBI's taxonomy places the organism in Eukaryota, Metazoa, Chordata, Actinopteri, Gobiiformes, Gobiidae.